RNAcentral lists this ribosomal RNA (373 nucleotides) under uncultured soil bacterium. Its description in RNAcentral is "bacterial SSU rRNA". It matches the Rfam family "Bacterial small subunit ribosomal RNA", at positions 26 to 388 of the family's 1533-position model. The record is from RNAcentral.
AGGAUGAACGCUGGCGGCGUGCUUAACACAUGCAAGUCGAACGGUGAAGCAGGAGCUUGCUCCUGUGGAUCAGUGGCGAACGGGUGAGUAACACGUGAGAAAUCUGCCCUGGACUCUGGGAUAAGCGUUGGAAACGACGUCUAAUACCGGAUACGAGCUUCAGCCGCAUGGCUAGGAGCUGGAAAGAACUUCGGUCCAGGAUGAUCUCGCGGCCUAUCAGCUAGUUGGUGAGGUACGCCACCAAGGCGACGGACGGUAGCCGGCCUGAGAGGGUGACCGGCCACGACUGGGACUGAGACGACGGCCCAGACUCCGAACGGGAGCAGCGAAGGUGGGAAUAGUUGCACAAAGUGGGACGCAAGGACCGUGACUG